GGGGUAUGAAACCUAGUUUUGAUUUCUAAUCGAAGACUAAAGUGAUUAGUGACACUUGUACUCCU
This 65-nucleotide transfer RNA is filed under the name Haematopinus suis. RNAcentral describes it as "tRNA-Ser". Lineage: Eukaryota; Metazoa; Arthropoda; Insecta; Psocodea; Haematopinidae. The record is from RNAcentral.